GAUGAACGCUGGCGGCGUGCCUAAUACAUGCAAGUCGAGCGAACAGACGAGGAGCUUGCUCCUCUGACGUUAGCGGCGGACGGGUGAGUAACACGUGGAUAACCUACCUAUAAGACUGGGAUAACUUCGGGAAACGGGCGCUAAUACCGGAUAAUAUAUUGAACCGCAUGGUUCAAUAGUGAAAGACGGUUUUGCUGUCUCUUAUAGAUGGAUCUGCGCCGCAUUAGCUAGUUGGUAAGGUCACGGGUUACCAAGGCAACGAUGCGUAGGCGAAGUGAUAGGGUGAUAGGCCACACGGGAACUGAGACACGGUCCAGAGUCCUACGGUAGGCAGCAGUAGGGAAUCGUCCGCAAUGGGCGAAAGCCUGACGGAGCAACGCCGCGUGAGUGAUGAAGGUCUUGGGAUCGUAAAACUCUGUUAUUAGGGAAGAACAAAUGUGUAAGUAACUAUGCACGUCUUGACGGUACCUAAUCAGAAAGCCACGGCUAACUACGUG
Molecule: ribosomal RNA, 497 nt
Filed under: uncultured bacterium
Lineage: Bacteria
Description: partial 16S ribosomal RNA
Rfam family: Bacterial small subunit ribosomal RNA
Source: RNAcentral